AUGAGCCAGAAGCGCACGGCGCCGACACCCUCCAUCGCCGCCCGCCCAGCGCCCUGCGGCCGGAUGGUCCUCUGGGCCGGCCAGAUCGGUGUCUCUUCUGCAUUCCCCUCAGCCGGGCCAGAGUCGCUAAAAGGCCUCUUUGGGACUUCUUUGCUGCUCGGUCCAGUUCUUUCUCCGCCCUUUGUCCGGGUAACUGGCCCCGGUCUCCGCAGGCGGGCUUCGGGAAGCCAAAUCAGGAGACGCUGGGCGCUCGGCGACUCCCGGGUGCUACUUGUUGCAUUUCUGCAGAAAACUGUUCCUUCGGAUGCGCGUCGGGGGCGGGAGGAGCGAGCAAGAGUUGGUGCUUUUUGUUUGCUCUGGACUCCGGAGAGCUGGAUUCCCUGGCGCGGAUUCUCCCCGCCAAGCGGAUUCCCCCACUGCAGGCGGGAUCCCUUCCAAGAGCUGCUGGGGUGCGGCUUGGCUGCUGAGCACCGGCCGCUAGGCCUGCGUCUCCGGCGCCUGCUCGUUCGGCGGUCCGGGGGGAUUCGGAGCGCGGUCGGAGUGGGCAGCUUGGGGGCCGCGCAGGCUGCGUCCGGAAGGGACCCACGUCGGCAAGGAGCGAGCAAACCCGGCGGAAAUUCGUUCUUCCCACACUCUGCCCCCCGGGGGAUGCAGGAGGAGAAAGAGGAGACGGUGGAGGCAGGACAGACCCUGGCUGGGGGAGGAGGAAACCCUAAGUGGCUCCGCGUCUGGUCAGCCCCAGCCCGGACGCCAAGUGAGAAAAGCCAGUUCGCCGGCGGCUUCGGAGCAGAAGGAGUGCGCCUCGUCUUAUCCAUUUAACCUACUCUUCCCGGUGCCACCCUGCGGGAGGUUGAGGUGGCACCGAUUCCCCCAGCAUUCUGCCCCUAGUCUGGGGGAACCUAAGGUUGCCUGCGGAAGGCCUUCGAUGGACUACUGUCAGAAGACGCCAGCUCAGUCCUUUCAAAGUGUUUGAGUUUCUAGUGUCCUUUUGCUAGAGUCAAAGGAGAGGCACCGCCCCUUUCAGGUUUCUAGCCUGAAUAUCCGCUGGAUCCCACUGUGGCAAAGCCCAUGAAGAAAGUUCAAGUGAGACGCCACAGAGAUUGUGUCAGGGCCAGAUUUGGCGGUUCGGUCCGAUUAAUUUUCCUGCAGUCUUAAAGCCCUUGAAGUAGGCCCUGAUCGUGUGCCUGUAUACAAUAACCUGCACAGAUUCCUGGGAAAUUGUUUCCUGAAGGGCCCUCCUGCUUUGUGCCUGAGCGUGCAGCGAUCUUGAAAGUUUUCAGGCUCCAAUCUGCUCAGGCCUGGGUUCAUGGGGGAAAAUAAUAACAUUUAUUAACAAUACAGAAUAGGUGACGGUUCUGUUAGGAGCAGCUCAUGAUGGAUUAAAAACAAGCAAGAGAUAGUCACCACCGUCGCUUGUUAUUUGUUUAUGCAAACCAACUUUUUGAAAACAGCCCUUCCCUCAAGGUGUUCAGAAACUGCCGAUUAGUAGGUUUACUCUCUGCUGGCAAUGUGGGAAAUCAGAGUACCUAGUCUCACUUCAGGGGGCUGGCCAUCCAAUGGGAAGGGAGGGGUCCUCACAGGUCAAAUAAGAAAAUGAGCCAGCGAGGGGAGAAAUCUGCAAAGAUUCGAAGGAUUUUAGUCACUCCAGCAUUUCGUUGUCUUGCUGAGCCUUUUACCAGGGGGAGGGAUGGAGGCAUGAACCUGGCAGGGUGGUCAGUGAAGAAUUCAUAGUUAGGCAGUGACCCCGACUUUGCAGAAAGAUGGGUGUUGGAGAAAAAAUGGUAAGACACUAAUGAAGUAUAUCCAGUUUACUGUGGUUCAUUUCAAAUAAAAGGCAAACUUGAGACACAGAUGUCUGCUUUACUAACAUGAAAUAUGAAGUUUAUUUUUCAGUUAUUGUGACCACCCCAAACUCCCUCUAACUACUACUGACUUCGGUGUGGCUGCCGGAAGGGGGAGGACCUGUGCUUGGACAAUGUUGUCUAUACCGUUUUAGCUCGGCUGACCUUGGCUAAAGACACUGUCCUUGACAGGAUCAAGGAUCAUAUGGAGUGUUCAGAGGAAACAGUGCCCGAAUGCUGCGGACUUUUAGGUUGAAUCACCCCCGAAGAUGUCUGGGAUGAAGCUGCUUCAAAGUUCCCAUCUUUUACAGCAUCUAAGUAGAGAAUGUUUUAGAAGCUGAGAGAUGCCUAGUGUGGAGGAGGGAAUGUUUUGCAUAAACUUCUUUCUUCUCUGGACCUUCUGCAGAAAAUCACAGAUCCAGGAUAAGCAAAGGAAUUAUCAUGACAUUUUACUUGAAUUUGAACCCCAAUCACCACAGCCACCACACUCAGCUCCAUAGCAAAGAACUGUAACAACUCCAAAACCACAUUUGCUUGGAAAACUGUGGAAAAGCAGCUGUGAGAACUUCCUGUCUGGAAGGGAAGGAGAAGAUACAGAGCUAGACCACAGGGUGCUGGGGAGGCUGCUGAAUUGCUCUGAAUUUUUAAAAUAUCGUCCACUUGUAAAGCCGACCUCAGGCUGCAUGGCUUCCCAUGAUCAAACAGCCUUGUUGGUACUAAGAAAUGAGAACUGGCAGGUGGAGCUGUGACAUCUCCAGCAAGGAGCCCCAGGAUGCUCUGGGAAGCCUGAGCUGGGCUUCAGGGCUGAGGGUAUCACCUACUUGGAGGUGGGCUGCUGCUGAUGUUGGAGGGGAAGCCUGAAAAGAUGUGCAGGGAGUUCAGGAAGCUUCAGCUCUACCUGCAUCUCCGGUGAGAUGUACUGGCUGGUUCUUCAGCAGCACCUCACAGCACUGGCUCACAGGGAGUCUUGAAGUGGUUGCUCCUUUCAUCUCCUUGAAAGAUUUUACGAGACAGUAGAUAUCACAUUAUACAUUGUAGCAAGAAAAGAAUCUCAA
RNA transcript from Alexandromys fortis (reed vole), 2896 nucleotides. RefSeq lists it as uncharacterized. The transcript has 3 exons. The record is from RefSeq and is a predicted model, not a curated record. NCBI's taxonomy places the organism in Eukaryota, Metazoa, Chordata, Mammalia, Rodentia, Cricetidae.